Molecule: microRNA precursor, 68 nt
Filed under: Sus scrofa (pig)
Lineage: Eukaryota; Metazoa; Chordata; Mammalia; Artiodactyla; Suidae
Description: miRNA (multiple genes)
Rfam family: mir-33 microRNA precursor family (bases 10-68)
Source: RNAcentral
CGGGCGGCCCCGCGGUGCAUUGCUGUUGCAUUGCACGUGUGAGGCGGGUGCAGUGCCUCGGCAGUGCA